This 425-nucleotide ribosomal RNA is filed under the name uncultured bacterium. RNAcentral's name for it is "partial 16S ribosomal RNA". It matches the Rfam family "Bacterial small subunit ribosomal RNA", at positions 354 to 796 of the family's 1533-position model. The record is from RNAcentral.
GUGGGGAAUAUUGGGCAAUGGGCGAAAGCCUGACCCAGCAACGCCGCGUGAAGGAAGAAGGUUUUCGGAUCGUAAACUUCUAUCCUUGGUGAAGAUAAUGACGGUAGCCAAGAAGGAAGCCCCGGCUAACUACGUGCCAGCAGCCGCGGUAAUACGUAGGGGGCAAGCGUUGUCCGGAAUGAUUGGGCGUAAAGGGCGCGUAGGCGGCCCGGUAAGUCUGAAGUGAAAGUCCUGCUUUUAAGGUGGGAAUUGCUUUGGAUACUGUCGGGCUUGAGUGCAGGAGAGGUAAGCGGAAUUCCCGGUGUAGCGGUGAAAUGCGUAGAGAUCGGGAGGAACACCAGUGGCGAAGGCGACUUACUGGACGAUGUCUGACGCUGAGGCGCGAAAGCUAGGGGAGCGAACGGGAUUAGAAACCCCUGUAGUCC